Heterocephalus glaber (naked mole-rat) is the source of this 477-nucleotide long non-coding RNA. Lineage: Eukaryota; Metazoa; Chordata; Mammalia; Rodentia; Bathyergidae. The record is from Ensembl.
UAAGGCCCUCGGUCUUACAAUAUGCUCAUAGGUAAGGCUUUUCACGGCUGGCUGGAUCACUGGAGUGUGAUACUGGUAUUAAAGGUUCCUGCCCCAUCCCCCUUGCCUGCAGGAUCCAGAGCAGAAGAGUGAACCCCGCAGAAAUUUUUACCUUACCUUCCAUCUGCCCAUGGCCCACAGCCAUCAUGGUCCACCCCUCACACCUGCUGAGAUCAUGUGCUACUGCCUCUGCAGAAUACUGAAUCCACAUCUAACAGCUCAAGUCCAAAUCUACAUCCACAACCUCAGUCUCCCGAGACUGCUGGACUGGAGUCGCACCCUCCCAAAGUCCUGGGACUGGUGGCUGUGAAAACCAACUGCAGUCUCAGAGAGAUGUUUCCAGCCAGCUAUGGUACCUCCCACAAUCUGUGGGACCAUUACUGACUUCACUGGUAUGCAGUGACCCCGAAUGUCCAAUUAAAGUGAUCUUUGCUCGCA